This 114-nucleotide ribosomal RNA is filed under the name Ursus americanus (American black bear). Lineage: Eukaryota; Metazoa; Chordata; Mammalia; Carnivora; Ursidae. The record is from RNAcentral.
GUCUACGGCCAUACCAUUCUGAAUGCCCCCGAUCUCGUCUGAUCUCGGAAGCCGAGGCACAUGAUAAUUAAAAUGUAAAAAAGUAAUAAGAGAGAAUGUUAAAAGUAGCAUGAA